GCAGACCCCCCACCGCCGAAGUGCCGCCAAAGACCCGGAGCGGACCGUGGCCGGGUGAGUAAAAAAAAUUAAAAAGGCGCCUAAGGCAUGGAGCCCUCUUAGGUGCGGGGCCCGAUUCCUAAAACCGUCCCUGGUGGCGGUGAUUUUAACUGAUAUCUCACUCCGGAGGGUAACAAAGGCAGAGAGAGGACAGCUGCUGGCGUCCCAAGGCUGCUCUCACCCAUAUGCUGCUCAACUGUGUACUGCAAUGAUGCCUGCUGAAAUUAUUGCUGACUGGCUGGGGCGGUGUCUUACCACAGAGGAAGAAAUAAUCCCUACAAACUUUUGGGAGAGGACUGCAGCAUAUCUCCAUGAAAGUUUUACUGCUAUCUCUCAGGAGGAUUCAGUAACUACAGCCAACAUCUAAGUUGCUGAAACAUGAAAUUUCUUCCCUCGAAUAGACAACCUUGGAAGUCUAACCCAAAAGAAAUCCCAUUAGUCAUACACUGAGUCUGUCUCUGGGAAAAUUGCUAGUGGAAGUGGGACAAAUAGGCCAGGCUCCCGCUACUGACUUCCAAGCAGUGGAGGAACAGGAGGAAGCUGCGUUACUGGAAACAAAGAGCCUGGUGGGGAAGGCCUGAGUCAUGGAGAGAUCAAAUGAGAGGCCCCAGGUGGGAAUGGGAGUCUGAAGGGCCGGGGGAGGCUGGACUGGCUGGGCAAGGAUAUGAGGACUGAAAGCCAGGGAUUGGCAGGGUGUAUGUGAAGUCAGUUGAAAGGGUUAGAUGGGACAAGCAGGUAGAGACAAGGCCAAAAGGGGUAGUGCUGGGGGGAAUAGGGGUAUAAAUGUCUGUGACCACUACAGCACGCUUACCUCUGGAGGUUGGAAAAUAACCCAAGAUUGCUGAGUCUCACCAUUCCUCUGCUGUUAGCAAAGAUCCAUGAAAGCCAGUGACAAAGCGUGUCUCAUCCCCCUUCAGUGGCUGGUUCACAUAGAGGUUAACAGACUACUGCCACUACCAGUUAUUAUAUUAGCUCAAGUGGCAGAAGUCUACACUGUGAAUCUAAAAGUUCCAACCCUACUGAUGAGCCAUAUGGGCAUAGUAUCAUCCCACAUAAUGAAAUUUCCAUUUUUUUCAGGAAAGCUUAGGAAAGAUACCAAAACUAAACAUGUGAGGUUGCAAAGUCAAGCACUCGAAUGAUAGGAAAUGCCAGAAUUAAGGUUGCCUGUGCACCCUAGGUUCUUCUUCAAGUGCUUGCUUAUGUCGUUGGAGAUUUUUGUCUUAGCAGUAUCUGUAGGGUCGGCAGUGGCGCCUCCUUGAGUGCCACGCUCAUGCGUCGAUAUAUCAGGCGCUAUCAACCCUAUGCCCUCUCAGUUCCUUCUUACAGCCCGUGGUGGUUAGUCGGAGUGCUUUCCCUUGCAUUGCUGAUCCCCCGAGACGAAGCAGCGCUCUCCACCUCUGCGCCACAAGUCACCAGAGCCACAGCCCGGAUGCUGUGGGGCUUGUCCUCUGUCACCAGCACCACGUUCCCGGUCGCUGCCAUCUCAACGCGGAUCACCUAGAGCAAGAUGCUGGUCGCCGUACUACCGACGCCACUCACCAUCCUGCAGAUAAUCAUCUGGGCACAGGUCCCAGUCACCUACAUAGUGGGAGUGCUCCCCAUCACGUCUUCAGUCCCCCCCAGCACCGGUUCCCAACAGCAACAGCCAGAAAGCAGACCCAGGCAUUAACCGCCCCACCGUGGUCACUGGAAGGGGAUUCCUCCAGCAAGGAAGCCCAGGUCAGCCCCUCGCCUGGUCUGCACCAGCACGAAUGGGCACCCAAGGCUGCGUCAAUGUCGAUGUCGCUGACUUGGCAGCAUGACUAGUGACCUUAUUGGGGCGCAUGGGGAAUGCUGGUUGUGGCGAUGCCCCCUUCUCACCACUCAUCGGCCGCCACCUCGGAGCAGCAGCUGGUGGCACCGAUGGCACUGGGCUCGGUGCACAAGGCACGCCCGGUGGUCGGAGCAGAGGGAACAGCGCCCACCGCUAAGCAUGAAGAUGCCCUGGAACCUCCCCCAGCGCUGCAGUCAUCAUCCUCGUCCCCGGAUGAGACGGUUGCAGGACCCUCGAGGGCAAGCCCGCCAGACGAUUUCAAAGAACAUCAGGCCCUGCUGCGUCAGGUGGCCGAGAACUUGAGCCUGGAGGUAGAGGAAAUGGCUGAGCAGACGGACACCUUGUUUAAUGUCCUGUCAGCUUCCACCCCAAAACAUGUUGCACUACUGGUGCACAAUGGUGUUCUUAAGAUUGCCAAGGAUCUUUGGCAAACUCCGUCCUCCAUUCCUCCCCCCUCACAGGGCUGAACAGAAGCACUUUGUCCCGGCUGAGGGGUUCGAGAACCUCUAUACCCACUCUCCCUCCCCCAGUCUUGCUGGUGGUCUCUGCGGCCAAUGAAAGAGACAAACGGGGGCAUACCAGUUUGACUCCUAAAUAUAAAGAGGCCAAACAGUUGGAUCUGUUCGGGAGAAAGAUUUUAUUAGAUGGACGGUUUGCCAACCAGAUCUGCAAACUAUCAGUCCCUCUUGGGCCGUUACAACUUUAGCUUAUGGUACUCUCCAUAAGUUCUAGGAGUCCCUUCCAUAUGGGUUGGCUCAAGAAUUUGGCACCCUGAUGGAGGAGGGCACUGUGGCUGUCAGGUGCUCCCUUCAGAUGACAUGGGACGUGGCAGACUCGGCAGCCAGGGUGGUCGCGUUGGCGGUGGUGAUGAGGCAUGGCUUCUGACUGCAGGUCUCUCCCUGGAAAUGCUGACCUCCAUCCAAGAUCUCCUGUUGGAUGGGAAUGGUCUCUUUUCAGACCAGACUGAUGCAAGGCUGCAUGGACUGGAGGACACCAGGGCCACUCUUCUCUCACUGGGAAUGCAUACAUCGCAGCCUGCGAGGAAGCAGUUCCAGCUGCCCCUGCCACCUAAGCCUUGGCAGUCUUGCCAGGGACCUGCAAGAAGAAGGGACAGAAAUACUAGUUCAGCCACCGUUGCCCUUCUUCCUCCCACUCACCUGCGCAACCCAGUCCAGCAAAGCACUCCGGGGACCAGAAGCGCUCGAUUUGAGGGCAGUCACUGUCCAGGAUCCAACCCGCUCUUUCCUCCACAGUCUAUGUCCCCUCCGUUUGGCCUGGUCCCAAGUCACCUCGGACCGUUGGGUGCUGGACAUAGCAUCUCAUGGUUACAGCCUGCAAUUUUUGGCUGCCCUUCCCUCCCAUCCCCCCUCCUUCUCAUCCCUCUUCAGGGACCCUUCUCAUGAGCAACUCCUCAUUCAGAAGGUCGAGAACCUCCUGUGCCUGGAGGCGGUGGAGGAGGUCCCUCGGGACAUGAGGGGAAAGGGCUUCUACUCCCGCUACUUCCUAAUCCCAAAGGCAAAAGGGUGCCUCAGGCCAUUCUGGACCCGCGAUGCCUCAACAAGUCUCCCUGGCGUCCAUUAUCCCCUCCCUGAAUCCAGGAGACUGGUACGCCACCCUUGACUUGAACGAUGCCUUUUUUCCACAUCUCUAUAGUCCAAAGUCACAGGCGUUUCCUCUGGUUUAUAGUGGGCAAACGCCAUUUCCAAUUCAUGGCGCUCCCCUUUGGCCUCUCAUCAGCCCCAAGGGUUUUUACCAAAUAUGUGGUCCGGUGGCCGGUUAUCUCAGACAUCCAGGAGUCCAGGUCUUCCCAUACCUCGACGACUGGCUCAUCAAGGGCAAGUCCCAGAACCAAGGACAGAGAAGCCUCGAUCUGGUGCGUUUCACCUGCCACAAGCUAGGCAUGUUGAUAAAUGAGAAAAUAUCCACCUUAAAGGCCAGUCCAACGCGGAGUUCAUCGGAGCGGUUCUCGACUCCACACGAGCCAGAGCCUUCCUCCCAGAGGCGCGUUUUCAGGCCAUGUCGGAUCUGAUCUCCCACGUGAGGAGCUACCUGCUCACCAUGGCUCACACCUGCCUGCGGUUGUUGGGCCACAUGGCUGCCUGUACCUAUGUGAUCAGUCAUGCUUGACUCCACGUCUGGCCUCUGCAAGCGUGGCUGGCGUCGCUUUACACCACUAACAGACAUGAUCUAGACUGAAUGGUCAGGGUGCCGGAUCACAUCCUGUCGUCCCUGGAUUGGUGGUUGGAUGCUGGGUCGUGAUCCCGUCCCCAUCAUUGACCCUUGUCUCCGAUGCUUCAGACCUGGGCUGGGGAGCCCACUUGGGCAAGCUGAGCACCCAGGGCUGAUGGGUGUGGGACGAUCUGGCCCUCCACAUCAACGUCAGGGAGCUCAGAGCGGUUCGCCUGGCCUGCCAGGCCUUCUUGCCACCUGAGGGGCAAGGUAGUGCAGGUCCUGAUGGACAAUACCGCCACAAUGUAUUACAUCAACAGACAGGGCAGAGCCAGGUCGUCAGCCCUCUGUCAAGAAGCUCUCAACCUUUGGCACUUCUGCAGCAUGCCAUUUAUCUGGUAGCUGCAGACCUGCCUGGUACCAAGAAUGUGCUAGUGGAUUGCCUCAGCAGAACCUUCUCGUCUUGCCACGAGCGGUCCCUCCAUCUGGAGGCAGCCAGUAUGAUCUUACGGAAGUGGAGGACUCCCCAGGUGGAUUUGUUCGUGUCCUGCCAAAACAGGAAAUGCCAUGUGUUCUGUUCGCUCCGGGGGAUGGACGGGAGUUCCCUGUCGGAUGCUUUCCUACAUCCAUGGUCAGGGGCCCUGAUAUUCGCCUUCCCACCAGUGCCAUUGAUCCACAGAGUCCUAGUGAAAAUAAAGCGGGACAUGGCGAAGGUUAUUCUGAUAGCUCCCGAGUGGCUUCGCCACCACUGGUUAGGCACGCAGCUGGACCUUUCGGUAGCCAAGCCACUGCAACUCCCUCUCUGGCCGUACCGGUCUCAGAAUCACAGCAGUCUCCUGCACCUGAACCUGGAGGCACUGCACUUCAUACCAUGGCUGCUGCGUGGCUAAAUGCGGACGAGCGGGAUGCUUGACCCAAGUGCAACAGGCCUUGCUGGGUAGCAGAAAGCCCUCCACCAGAGCGACCUAUUGGGCAAAGUGGAAAAGGUUUAUGUGCUGGGCCUUGGAUUGGUGUGUCCGGGCCAAGCAGGCCUCCCUGCAGGUGAUCCUGGACUAUCUCCUGCACCUCAAGCUCCAGGGCUUGUCACUGUUGUCAGUCAGGGUCCACCUGGCUGCUGUUUUGGCUUUCCACUCUCCGUUCCAAGGCAGGUCUAUCUUCACUUAUGAUAUGACGGCCCAAUUCCUGAAAGGUCUGGAGUGUCUUUACCCGCAUGUCUGGGAUCCGGUCCCUCCCUAGGAUUGGAACCUUGUGCUGUCAAGGCUCAUCGGACUUCCAUUUCAGCGUCUGGCUUCCAACUCUCUUCUCCUUCUCUCCUGGAAGGUGGUGUUCCUGGUGGCAAUUACGUCCACCUGCAGAGUAUCUGAACUCAGAGUGCUUAUGUAGUAACCUCCCUAUACGGUGUUCUACAAGGACAAGGUCCAGUUGCGGCUGCACCCGGCGUUCCUACCAAAGGUAGUUUCCCAGUUUCGUACCUGCCAGGACAUUUUCUUACCAGUCUUCUUUCCGAAGCCCCAUAGUUCCAAAGAGGAGCGCAGGUUACACGCCCUGGAUGUUUAGAGGGCGCUGGCCUUUUAUAUUGACAGGACACAGCCUUUCCGUAAAUCUACGCAACUGUUUGUUGCUGUGGCAUACAGGAUAAAAGGUCACCCAGUGUCUGUUCAGAGGAUUUCAUCCUGGAUUACAGCCUGCAUCUGAUACUGCUACGAGCUCGCAAGUGUGCCUCCACUGACGAUAGUCAAAGUGUACUCAACUGGAGCACAAGCGUCAUCAGCGGCCUUCUUGGCUCAUGUGCCGAUCCAAGAGAUCUGUAGAGCUGCUAUGUGGUUGUCUGUCCACACAUUUACAUCCCAUUAUGCACUUACCCAGCAGGCCCGGGAGGAUGCUGGCUUCAGCCGUGCAGUGCUGCUAGCUACAAAACUGUGAACUCCAAGCCCACCUCCAUUGGCACUGCUUCUGAGUCACCUAGAAUGGAAUUGACAUGAGCAAGCACUCAAAGAAGAAAAAACAGUUACCUACCUUUUGUAACUCUUGUUCUUCGAGAUAUGUUGCUCAUGUCCAUUCUAUUACUCACCCUCCUGCCCCUCUGUAAGAGUCGCCGGCAAGAAGGAACUGAGAGGGUGUAGGGUCGGCGGUGCCUGAUAUACUGAUGCAUGAACGUGGUACUCAAGGGGGUGCCACAGUCGACCCUACGGCCACCACUAAGGCAAAAAUCUCCAGCGAUUGCACACUUGGGUGCCCACACACCUCUAAUGGAACGGACAUGAACAACACAUCUCGAAGAACAGUUACGAAAGGCUCAGUUACAUCUCUUAUUCUGCUCUGUAAUGGCCUCAUGGAUAGCCAGACUAUUUUUCUUAUGAGAGUCUGAGAAGAGGAGGGUCCAACAGUUUCUGCUUCAUGAUGGGAGAAGAGCAAAAUCAGAGACAGCCCAGCAUGCAUCUCUUCCCCUCAGUGGCCAGACCAACAUCCAAACUAAUUACAUUUUUAAAGAAAAAUCAAGAAAGAAGGGAGUGUAUCAGUGAAAAGAGACGAAAGGAAGAUCGGGGCGAGAGAAAGUUGAUAGAAACAGGCCAGAGAUCUUGAAUGGAUGUGCCAGUCAAUCUGAAAGUAACUCAGGCACCCAUGAAUCUGAUCAACACACAGGAAGGGCUUGGAGCUUGAUAACAUGCUAACCUUUGAAGGGCAGAAAAAUUUUUGAACUUCUUGCUGCUGGUUGAAAAGGUUUUAUCAGCAAUACCUUGAAAUUUGACACAGGGUACAAAUCUGCAAUAAACCAACAAUGGAAACUGGAGAACAAGAUGAGAAGCAAUUCAUCUCGGACAAUUAGCUCUUACAAUACUCCAUAGGUACUACACGGUAUGCUAGAACCCUACUAUGGUCUUACAAUGCUAUUGUAAAUUUCUGAUAUUAAUGAACAUGUUAUGGUAAAUAACCCUACAUUUUUACUACCUAAUAUAGUAAAAUAAAGUAAGAAACUUUUUACUGAAAACUUUUUCGAUUUCAAAAAUCUAGAAAGAGUAAUAUUUAGAAUUCAAGAAAUUUUCUUACAAGAUUAUUGUAUAAAAGACUAGCUACAGUGAAAAAUAAGCCAAAUGUAUUUUUCUUUCUAUUUUAUGAAGGAAAGCUUCUGGGCAUACUGCAAAGUCUAAUAUAGCCAAAAAGACGACAAGCUUAGAAGGAAAAAGGCCUGGCAGUGGCACGUGAUCACUUUCACACGUCAUAAGCAACAAAUUUGUUUAGCUGAUAAACACUGAAAUGAAGAACAAGGCCACAGAUAUAGUCAGAUAUUAUCUGAUGAUAUAUUCAAAUUAAUUAAAGUAAUAGAAUGAAAUCACUAAUUUCACAAACAACUGGUUUGUUAGGAAUCAUCCAAAACGUGAUUUUAAAUUCAUUAGUCUGUUUUAAGUCUUUUUUUUUGUUCUUUUAAAUUAAUUGAAAUUAUUUAAAAUGAUUAACUGUUUUGUUCCUUUUUUGUGUGUGAGCUGAUUGCGUAUUGCCCAUUUUACUGGUGGCAAACAAUAGCUAAGACAACCUUGGCUUGAUAGUUUUCCCCCAUGGUCAUUGCAGUGGAAGACAGUUUCCAUGGAAGUUCAGAGGGAUUUUAACAAUCAACACAUUAGUGACAAAGGAAUACUUAUGGACACUGUUCUGGUGGAGCAACAUUUAAUGAUUUAAUGCUAAUAUGGCUUGGGAGGGGGCAGUUUGUUUGCAACUGAUUGAAUCACACUGAAUUCUUCUCCACUGACAAGCCAUACAAAAAUGACAAGAUAAUUAAUGUAUACAAUAAGGAAAAAGAUUGGUGACCAUUGCUCUUAUCUCCCAUUAUGUAAUUAGCCCACCACAGCUGUGUUUAGUUCAUCACACUAUCUGCCAUGGUGAAUUUAGGAUUUUACUGUUCACCAUAAUUACAGCCCGAAAAGUCUCCUUUGUAUUUUAAUGCAUUUUGUGCUUACGUACAGCUAACACUUUACAUGUACUAUAUGUAGUACUUACUGCUUGGAAAACAAAGCAAUUCUAACAAAGUAGAUUCUCCCCACCCAAUUUACACUUCACGUUACAAGCUUUACUAUGAAGCCUAGAAGCCUAAAAAGGUUUGGUUUAUAAUUAGAAAUAAAAAUAUUUAUUUGAGGAAAGUCUGAGGGGAAAAAAUACCACUUUUUAAAUCCAAGAAAUGGCAUGGUCACAGUAGUGCUCCUGUCUGCGGUCUUCACUGUACCUUCGAAUGGGUUGAAGUAUGGAGCUCAGUAUGGAAGCGGACGAUGACCAUAACUGUUCAGAUUACCAGAGAACCAAAAAAAAAAAAAAAGCUAUGCCAAGGAAUAUUUUCCUAUUGCAUGGAAAACACUAGUCAUAUGGCAAAAGGAGUAGAAAGGACAA
Molecule: long non-coding RNA, 8398 nt
Organism: Chrysemys picta bellii (western painted turtle)
Lineage: Eukaryota; Metazoa; Chordata; Testudines; Emydidae
Source: RefSeq, a predicted model, not a curated record